This 483-nucleotide ribosomal RNA is filed under the name uncultured bacterium. Its description in RNAcentral is "bacterial SSU rRNA". It matches the Rfam family "Bacterial small subunit ribosomal RNA", at positions 8 to 518 of the family's 1533-position model. The record is from RNAcentral.
AGAGUUUGAUUCUGGCUCAGAACGAACGCUGGCGGCAGGCUUAACACAUGCAAGUUGAACGGGAUUUGCUAAGUGCUUGCACGGAGCAAUGAGAGUAGCGCACUGGUGAGUAACACGUGGGAACAUGCCUUUUGGUGGGGGACAACAGAGGGAAACUUCUGCUAAUACCGCAUAAGCCCUAAGGGGGAAAGAUUAAUUGCCGAAAGAUUGGCCCGCGGAAGAUUAGGUAGUUGGUGGGGUAAAGGCCUACCAAGCCGACGAUCUAUAGCUGGUCUGAGAGGACGAACAGCCACAUUGGAACUGAGACACGGUCCAGACUCCUACGGGAGGCAGCAGUGAGGAAUAUUGGGCAAUGGAGGAAACUCUGACCCAAGCCAUGCCGCGUGAGUGAAGAAGGUUUUCGAAUUGUAAAGCUCUUUCGGAUACGAGGAUGAUGACGGUAGUAUCUAAAGAAGCCCCGGCAAACUUCGUGCCAGCAGCCGC